RNAcentral lists this ribosomal RNA (492 nucleotides) under uncultured bacterium. RNAcentral describes it as "partial 16S ribosomal RNA". It matches the Rfam family "Bacterial small subunit ribosomal RNA", at positions 29 to 507 of the family's 1533-position model. The record is from RNAcentral.
AGUGAACGCUGGCGGUAGGCCUAACACAUGCAAGUCGAACGGCAGCACAGUAAGAGCUUGCUCUUACGGGUGGCGAGUGGCGGACGGGUGAGGAAUACAUCGGAAUCUACUUUUUCGUGGGGGAUAACGUAGGGAAACUUACGCUAAUAUCGCAUAUGACCUACGGGUGAAAGCAUUGGAUCUUCGGACCUUGCGCGAUUGAAUUAGCCGAUGUCGGAUUAGCUAGUGGGCGGGGUAAAGGCCCACCAAGGCGCCGAUCCGUAGCUGGUGUGAGAGGAUGAUCAGCGACACUGGAACUGAGACACGGUCCAGACUCCUACGGGACGCAGCAGUGGGGAAUAUUGGACAAUGGGCGCGAGCCUGAUACAGCCAGCCCGCGUCGGAGAAGACGACCUUCGGGUUGUAAAGACCUUUUGUUGGGAAAGAAAAGCAGCAGGUUAAUACCCAGCUGUUCUGACGGUACCCGAAGAAUAAGCACCGGCUAACUUCGUG